GGCCUGUAUUGUAUCAAGUGACCGUAAACGCAUCAAUUGUCAUCAGAUCCAUUGUUCAGAUUUUUUUUUUUUUUUUUUUUUUUUUUUUUUUUUGCAGAAACUCCCCCUUUUCCCCCUAGAAAAAGCCAGAGUCUCAUCACACUGAAGUAACCUAAUUCCUGUGUGACCCGCCUCGGUUCACCUUUUCGCUAAACCAGUUUGACGCGUCGCUGUAGUAAAGGGAAGUGAAGGACUCUAACUUUGUAAAUCCUGUUUCUGUUGUCGCAUUGCAACUGAAACAGUUUUAGUAGGCUUUGUUUCUCUGAUUCAGCACUGAGCCUUUUUCAUCAUGAACAUGUUCAGGAGAGAUAAAGGCUCAGCAGCACCAACCCCAGUGGUCCCACCUAGACCCAGCACGGAGGAGUUGGACAACCCCGUCAGACACAGCCUGAACAAAGCGGAUGCAGCAAUUAGACCUGUGCCACAGAGGACUGGGGUGAUGGGUGUCGUGCAGAAGGUCAACCCGUUCAAGUCUACCUCCCAGGCACCCUCCACUGUCAACAAAGCUCCUUCUGAGUCACUGCAACAGGCUGCUGCCCCAGACUCCACACAGAACCCUGGUAUGCUGAAAGGGGUCAUGCAGAAGGUCAACCCGUUCAAGUCCGCCUCACAGGUCUCAUCUGCAGACAGUCGAGCUGCUUCCUCGGAGUCACUGGAACAGGGAAGUGUUGCUGACUCUGCGCAGGUUCAGAACCCUGGGAUGUUGAAAGGCGUCAUACAGAAAGUAAACCCCUUCAAGUCAAGUUCUGCACAGGUGUCAAAGGAGGAUCCUCAAAAUGACUCUGCAGACCCACAAGAGGCUGGGAAACUUGAAGGCAAACAGAACCCAGGGAUGUUCGUAGGGAUGAUGCAGAAAGUCAACCCCUUCAAAUCCUCCUCACAGCCACAGGACACUCGGUCCAUACACAGCGAUCUCUCCUCCAGUGGCGGAAGCUUGGCAGACAAUAACAAUGUGCCGGAGAAGCAGAACCCAGGGAUGUUCAAAGGGAUGAUGCAGAAAGUAAAUCCGUUCAAGUCUUCCACACAGAUGCCAAAGGAGGAUUGUCAGACAGACUCUGCUGAUCUCCAAACAGGCUCCUCGGUCAAGAUGCAGGACACCCAGUCGCUUCACAGUGACCACUCCUCCAGCUCUGGCAGCUUGGAUGACAGCACCAUAGACAGACAUACGAUUUGGUACGCCGACACUGAAGCCAGCUGUGAAGUGAAAAGCCAGCCACCUGUGGCAGAGAAGAAGAGAUUUGGGACUUUCAGAAUAAGGAGGAUUCUCCCCGGUGCAUUGUUCAGCUCUGGAACCAAGGACUCCACCAAAGCAUCAUCUGACUCUCAGCCCUCGCCUCAGGAGGAGGCAGUAGAAGUCCAAGUGCUAGAGAUGGCUGAAGUACCGGUGCCCAGUGAAGGAGCAGCUCUGGACCCUCUAGAAGUAUGCUCACCUUAUGAUCUAUAAUCAUAUGUGUGUCAGAUGGGUUUCCCUGUGUAUUUUGUAAGAGAUUUCCUCGCACAUACAAAAGCUGUCAG
Molecule: long non-coding RNA, 1554 nt
Filed under: Myripristis murdjan (pinecone soldierfish)
Lineage: Eukaryota; Metazoa; Chordata; Actinopteri; Holocentriformes; Holocentridae
Description: lncRNA (ENSMMDG00005001745.1)
Source: RNAcentral